AAUAGAUACCCGGGUAGUCCACGCCGUAAACGAUGGGUGCUAGGUGUCGGGGGUAUCGACCCCCUCGGUGCCGUCGCCAACGCAAUAAGCACCCCGCCUGGGGAGUACGGCCGCAAGGCUAAAACUCAAAGGAAUUGACGGGGGCCCGCACAAGCAGCGGAGCGUGUGGUUUAAUUCGAUGCAACGCGAAGAACCUUACCCGGGCUUGACGUGCACGUAGUACCCGAGGGAAACCGAGGGGACCCGCGAGGGAGCGUGCGCAGGUGCUGCACGGCUGUCGUCAGCUCGUGCCGUGAGGUGUUGGGUUAAGUCCCGCAACGAGCGCAACCCCCGCGACCAGUUACGAAGUCUGGUCGGACCGCGGGACCAACCCGGAGAAGGUGGGGAUGACGUCAAGUCAGCAUGGCCCUGACGUCCGGGGCGACACACACGCUACAAUGGCCGGGACAGAGGGUAGCGAGGCCGCGAGGCGGAGCCAAGUCCCAGCAAACCCGGUCUCAGUUCGGAUCGGAGGCUGCAACCGCUCGUGAAGUCGGAGUUGCUAGUAACCGCGGGUCAGCACACCGCGGU
RNAcentral lists this ribosomal RNA (570 nucleotides) under uncultured bacterium. Its description in RNAcentral is "bacterial SSU rRNA". It matches the Rfam family "Bacterial small subunit ribosomal RNA", at positions 777 to 1363 of the family's 1533-position model. The record is from RNAcentral.